RNAcentral lists this ribosomal RNA (1448 nucleotides) under uncultured cyanobacterium. RNAcentral describes it as "bacterial SSU rRNA". It matches the Rfam family "Bacterial small subunit ribosomal RNA". The record is from RNAcentral. Lineage: Bacteria; Bacillati; Cyanobacteriota.
AGAGUUUGAUCAUGGCUCAGGAUGAACGCUGGCGGCGUGCUUAACACAUGCAAGUCGAACGAACCUUCGGGUUAGUGGCGGACGGGUGAGUAACGCGUGGGAAUCUGCCCUCAGGAGGGGGAUAACGGCUGGAAACGGCCGCUAAUACCCCAUAUGCCGAGAGGUGAAAUGAAUUUCGCCUGAGGAUGAGCCCGCGUCUGAUUAGCUAGUUGGUGAGGUAAGAGCUCACCAAGGCAUCGAUCAGUAGCUGGUCUGAGAGGAUGAUCAGCCACACUGGGACUGAGACACGGCCCAGACUCCUACGGGAGGCAGCAGUGGGGAAUUUUCCGCAAUGGGCGAAAGCCUGACGGAGCAACGCCGCGUGAGGGAUGAAGGCCUCUGGGCUGUAAACCUCUUUUCUCAAGGAAGAAGAUCUGACGGUACUUGAGGAAUAAGCCACGGCUAAUUCCGUGCCAGCAGCCGCGGUAAUACGGGAGUGGCAAGCGUUAUCCGGAAUUAUUGGGCGUAAAGCGUCCGCAGGCGGCCCUUCAAGUCUGCUGUUAAAAAGUGGAGCUUAACUCCAUCAUGGCAGUGGAAACUGUUGGGCUUGAGUGUGGUAGGGGCAGAGGGAAUUCCCGGUGUAGCGGUGAAAUGCGUAGAUAUCGGGAAGAACACCAGUGGCGAAGGCGCUCUGCUGGGCCAUAACUGACGCUCAUGGACGAAAGCCAGGGGAGCGAAAGGGAUUAGAUACCCCUGUAGUCCUGGCCGUAAACGAUGAACACUAGGUGUCGGGGGAAUCGACCCCCUCGGUGUCGUAGCCAACGCGUUAAGUGUUCCGCCUGGGGAGUACGCACGCAAGUGUGAAACUCAAAGGAAUUGACGGGGGCCCGCACAAGCGGUGGAGUAUGUGGUUUAAUUCGAUGCAACGCGAAGAACCUUACCAGGGUUUGACAUCCUGCGAACCUCUUGGAAACGAGAGGGUGCCUUCGGGAGCGCAGUGACAGGUGGUGCAUGGCUGUCGUCAGCUCGUGUCGUGAGAUGUUGGGUUAAGUCCCGCAACGAGCGCAACCCACGUCUUUAGUUGCCAGCAUUUAGUUGGGCACUCUAGAGAGACCGCCGGUGAUAAACCGGAGGAAGGUGUGGAUGACGUCAAGUCAUCAUGCCCCUUACAUCCUGGGCUACACACGUACUACAAUGCUACGGACAAAGAGCAGCAAGUUCGCGAGGACAAGCAAAUCUCAUAAACCGUGGCUCAGUUCAGAUCGUAGGCUGCAACUCGCCUACGUGAAGGAGGAAUCGCUAGUAAUCGCAGGUCAGCAUACUGCGGUGAAUACGUUCCCGGGCCUUGUACACACCGCCCGUCACACCAUGGAAGUUGGCCACGCCCGAAGCCGUUACUCCAACCCUCGGGAGGAGGACGUCGAAGGUGGGGCUGAUGACUGGGGUGAAGUCGUAACAAGGUAGCCGUA